GUAGAUCUACUGCCUUUCGAUGGGUUGGCUGAAACACUUCGGACUGCGACCAGUCUCUUAAAAAGAACAAAAAGAGGAAGACCUUGAGUGGACCCCAGGACAAAGCACUUUGGGCUCGGCAAGAAGGGACGUGCGGGAGCGCUGGCUGGGAACUGGAGUGAUCUCCCGUGCCAAAGAGCGCCCAUGAAGCGUGCGGACCUCUGAGGGUAUUCGGAUUGAAUUUUAUUUACCCUUUUGGCAUGCUUGAACGAUGACAUUGUUGGAGAGGGGUAAGGUUUUGUUUUGUUUCGUUUUUUUCUGGGAAAGAGAACUGAAUGGUGGGAGGUCAGGUAGACUUAAGUUGGCUUUCCUGCUCCCCUGCCUCCCCUCCUCGAGAUCCAGGUGUUGGAGAAGAGACUAGGAAGUAGAAGGCUUAGAAAAAAAGUAGACACCGGAGAUGUUGUCGGGGGCUAACGGGAGAGUGGAGUGAGGUGUAGGUGAGUGGGGACUGGCCAGCUGGAGGAGGGUUUUGGGGAAAAAAAGAGGUUUUUUUUAAACCCCCUUCAGCUUCACAAGAUGAGUUUUGCUGGGGAGGAGAAUAUGGGUGUCUGCCGAUAGAAGCUCUGAGAAAUUGAUGAAAAAUUGAUAUGUCCAUGUACACACUUAAGGAGGCGUCUGGAUUUGUGUGUAAACAGAGUGGAGAGGUGAAGGAGCGCAUGGAGGGAGGGGGCUUAAAAUAAUGUCUUAUUAUCCCUUUGGCUUUGGGGACUCUCAUCCUCUGUUCCUCCCCCCCCUUUUUUGACCUAGGGAUCCAGCUGCAUUAGACACGAGUGACCUUUUAAAUCUACGCCCACCCUUUACCUGGUAAAGCCCGUUGACAGUUUGGGGUGGGGUGGGGUGGGGUGAGGAGAGUGGUAGGGGUGUUUCGAAGACAUAUAUAUUCUCUCUCUCUCUCCCUCUCUCUGCCCCCCUCUCCCUUUCCCUCUCCCCCUCUCUCCUCCCUCCUCCCUCCUCUCCUCUCCUCCCCUCCCCUCCGUCUCCUCCUCCCUCGCUCUCCCCCCAUCACUCUUUCUCUUCCUCCCUCCCACCUCCCUCACUCCCUCCCUCCCUGCUGCAUUUUGCAUGAGCUAUCUAGGUCAUUAGCAUUUUAGCGUAUGCAAGACUUGACAAAGCUGAUGAGGGGCCAGAUGGGCCUCGCUCUUAUGGGUUUUUUUUUUUUCCCUUUUUUUCCCCCUCUUUUCCUUUUUCCCCUCCACCACUUGGGACCUGAGCAAGAGGACUGCAGCAGGCGAGUUUCGGAAGGCUGAUCCCGGCCCGGAGCGCGGCAGUUCGCCCCUGCGGCACGCCCGGCCAGGCUGCGCCCGCACUCAGCCAGCGAGGUAAAGGCGGCGGCGGCGCGCCCUGCUCUGGCAGCCGCUGCCAAGCCCCCGCUGCCCUCCGCUUUCUGUGCCCUCGACUUCCUCCUCCUGGCCCCCUCAGUUUACUGGGCUAAACUGAGAGUGAGAGAUGGGUGGGUAGGGUUUGCUGUGCUGGGGCGAGGUGGGGUUGGUGUUGUGUUUUGUUUUUUUGUUUUUGUUUUUGUUUUUGUUUUUUCAUUGUCUGGAGCUGCAGGGGAGGCGAGGCGUGAGGAAGGGGGUAAGGGAGUCGGGGUAAUUAACACGGGGGAGGCACCCCUCCGUCUCCCACUUCCACCCACACCCCCAACCCUCCACCCCCUCCGCUUUGCAGGAAAAAGCCUGGAUCCGAAAGGAUGGGGGAGAACAAAGAGCCUUUGGAAGACGUCGCUGUUAUCUCAUUGUCUGUGUGAUUGGGGGAGCUGCGGUAGGGAGGAUGCUGUGGUCCUGUUCUCCCUGCCUCCCCACCCCCAACCCUCUCCCCGCUGUCAGUGCGCACGCACGCGCCCUUCUUUUUACUUAUUUUUCCUUGUUUUUUUCAUCCCAUCUUCUCCCCACCCCCCUUCCUUUCUUCCACCUGUCCUUCCUUCCUCCUUUACUUCCUCAGGAGAAAGGCCUCUCUCU
RNAcentral lists this long non-coding RNA (1997 nucleotides) under Lynx pardinus (Iberian lynx). The record is from RNAcentral. Lineage: Eukaryota; Metazoa; Chordata; Mammalia; Carnivora; Felidae.